This is a long non-coding RNA of Helianthus annuus (common sunflower), 238 nucleotides long. RefSeq lists it as uncharacterized. Lineage: Eukaryota; Viridiplantae; Streptophyta; Magnoliopsida; Asterales; Asteraceae. The record is from RefSeq and is a predicted model, not a curated record. The transcript has 3 exons.
CAUGAUUCUGCCGGAUUUCUUUUAUAUUUCAACCCAAACCCUAAAUAUCAGAGCUUCUUCUUCACGCUUCUUCUUGCCUGAUUCCAAACCCUAAGUGAUCCUUUCCUCCAUCAAUUCUUCCUUCAUCGAUUCAUCAAUAUUAAUCAUAGGUUUUGCAGGUGGGGGAAUCGAUUCCUUCCAGAAAUCGAUGAACCCUAAAAUGAUCUCCCAAACCCAGGGUUUUAGGGCUUUUUAUUUU